This 45-nucleotide non-coding RNA is filed under the name Schistosoma mansoni. Lineage: Eukaryota; Metazoa; Platyhelminthes; Trematoda; Strigeidida; Schistosomatidae. The record is from RNAcentral.
AUCCAGCUGACAAGUCCGGGAUAGGAAGAAACGCGCGUCCAGGAU